AGAAACAUGUGUUUAACAUUAAUUGUGUUAAUCACUUAACUCUAGUUAACAUAUGGGCUGAGUCUUGCUGAGUCAUUUUCUCAGACUAUGUGGGUGAGGCUUAAUUAAAAACUAAGCAUAUUUGACAUCUCUUGCCUCUUCUGUAGAAGUCAGAGCAAAUAAUGGUUUCAUAUGUUUUAUUUAUUGUGUUUAAUAAAAGUUUUUCGUAGUGUAUUAUUUUAAGCAGAUUCCUUAUUCAGAAGAGAGAACAUGCUAUAUAUCAGGAACUACUGAUGCACUUUCUUGGAUUUUACUGCCAGUUUGAAUUUAAAACUUUGUGGUCAGGCAUGGUAGUGCACACCUAUGGUUCCAACUACUGAGGAGGCUGAUGGAGGAGAAUGGCUUGAAUCCAGGAGUUUCAGGCCAGUUUGAACACAGCAAGACCGUGUGUGUGUGUGUGUGUGUGUGUGUGUGAUGUUAGGGAUUGAAUCCAGGGCCUGGCUCAUGUGUUUUAAAAUUUUCAGUUGAUCCUACUUUCUUUUUGGGGGGAGGGGGGUGGUACCAGGGAUUGAACUCGGGAGCACUUGACCACUGACCCACAUCCCUAGCCCUAUUUAGUAUUUUAUUUAGAGACAGGGUCUCGAUGAGUUCCAUAUUAAUGCCUCACUUUUGCUGAGGCUGUCUUUGAACUCAUGAUCCUCUUGCCUCAGCCUCCUGAGCCAUGAUCCUAUUUAGUGCCUAAUAA
Molecule: long non-coding RNA, 724 nt
Filed under: Marmota monax (woodchuck)
Lineage: Eukaryota; Metazoa; Chordata; Mammalia; Rodentia; Sciuridae
Source: RNAcentral